CAGCCCUAAACGAUGCGCGUUAGGUGUAUCGGUGACCACGAGUCACCGAGGUGCCGAAGGGAAACCGUGAAACGUGCCGCCUGGGAAGUACGGUCGCAAGGCUGAAACUUAAAGGAAUUGGUGGGGGAGCACCACAACGGGUGGAGCUUGCGGUUUAAUUGGAUUCAACGCCGGAAAUCUUACCGGGACCGACAGCAACAUGAAGGCCAGGCUGAAGACUUUGCCGGAUUAGCUGAGAGGAGGUGCAUGGCGUAGUCGUGU
RNAcentral lists this ribosomal RNA (261 nucleotides) under uncultured archaeon. RNAcentral describes it as "partial 16S ribosomal RNA". It matches the Rfam family "Archaeal small subunit ribosomal RNA", at positions 748 to 1009 of the family's 1478-position model. The record is from RNAcentral.